This is a long non-coding RNA of Serinus canaria (Common canary), 8541 nucleotides long. RefSeq lists it as uncharacterized. NCBI's taxonomy places the organism in Eukaryota, Metazoa, Chordata, Aves, Passeriformes, Fringillidae. The transcript is spliced from 8 exons. The record is from RefSeq and is a predicted model, not a curated record.
GGCGCGGCCCUUCGAAUAUGAGCGGCCGCAGGCCGGGACCGGGCGGCUAGAACUGGAGCUUCGGCAGCGGUGCCAGAGAUGAAGACGGACACGAUUCCCCGGCCAUGGUGAACAGCACAAAGGUUUGUUCUGAUCCCCUCCAUGAUCCGUCCCAGCUCCAGGACUUCAGUGUCUUCAUCAAAAUUAUCCACAAAAUGAGUUAAUGCAAACCCUGCACUCUUCCAGCCACGGGAGCAAGGAGGGGGAGUCUGUGCUGGAGCAGCCGCUGCCAGAGAGGAUCUCCUUCAUCCAUGGUUUCCUGCAGAAGCACUGCAGGUACAAAUUCACUGCAGAGAACAUGGUCUCUGUACAGAAACUCAUGGAGAGGAGAGAGGCCAGGACAAAGUAACUGAAUAUGAUAUUGAAGAAGGCAACCACUGGACUGUUACGGACAGAGGAGGAGACAAUGAUUGUUUGGUUUCUGAGGAAGAAUCAGAUUCAUCAAUCUCAAACCCAGCAGACUCAAACUGGUAAAGAGACCUAUCUUCCCCCUGCCUUUGCCCAAGUCAAGAGAUCCUCCGAAAAAGACUCAGCAAUACUCCGUAACAGACUGGGCAGCAGUAAGAUGCAAAGCAAUAAAAGAAAAAGAUUUUGGUCUAGCUAAAGAGCCACUCUUAGCCAAGCCAGUUAGAGAAGAUGCUAAUCCAAGAUGGGAACUGUUGAAUUAUGAUGAUAUUAAAUAUUUGAAAAGAAGUAAGGGAAAAUGGAUUAGGCUCACUGUAUUUCAAGCAAUUGCUAAAAGGAAUAUAUAGUAAUGUAAAUUUAACACCAUAUGACUGUUGCUAUAUCUCCUCCAUAAUAUUGACAGAAUCACAAUGUAGGGCGUUUGGCUGUCCGUCUCUGCUCCCACACACGCGUAGGAUGGUUCUUUGCACAGCAGCCCUCAAAAGAUGAGUCUGGACUCUAGGUUUUUUGGUCUUCAGAACUGUUUAUUGUUUCUUACCUACAAAGUUCCUUCUCUGCCCGACCUGGAUCUGACCAGCACAGCAGCCAAAGGCACUCUGACCGCCCCUGAGGCGGUUGCAUCUUUUUAUAGCAAAAACUACGUACAUGAUAUGUACUCUUUAUUCCCAAUACUUAUCACCCUCAUCACCACGUGCACCUUCACCCCAGACCAAUCCACAAGUGCCAACAUCACCACAGAAGAUGGACAACAAGAAGAAGAAAGAAGAGCCCUGUGACACACCCUGAUUCCUCCAUCUUGUCUCCAGAACCGCCCCGUACCAAAACCCCAAAAUCUGUGUUUCACCCUAUAAUUGCCGCGCUGCUGCGUCGAGUGCACUUUACUCCCCUGAGAGCAGGGGGGGAGGCGGCGCCGGCUAGCUCGGAGCACAGCAGCAGCUAGCAGCGGGGGGCACUACCCAGAUGCGUCAGGGACGUCUGGGCAGCGCCUUCGACAGGAGCGGCAAAAGCGGAGAAGCUUGAGAGAAAAGAGGGUCUUAACUCUCCUGGUGCAGUCCAGAGGUUUAAUGUCUCAUUGUCUCCAGGGGAUCCAGAGUUCCUUCUCUGCCCGACCUGGAUCUGACCAGCACAGCAGCCAAAGGCACUCUGACCACCCCCGAGGCAGUUGCUUCUUUUUAUAGCAAAAACUACGUACAUGAUAUGUACUCUUUAUUCCCAAUACUUAUCACCCUCGUCACCACAUGCACCUUCACCCCAGACCAAUCCACAAGUGCCAACAUCACCACAGAAGAUGGACAACAAGAAGAAGAAAGAAGAGCCCUGUGACACACCCUGAUUCCUCCAUCUUGUCUCCAUAACUCCCCUGUACCAAAACCCCAAAAUCUGUGUUUCACUCUAUAAUUAUGUCUUCCCUUCACCAUUCACACCCGAGUGACUCUCACAGGUCUCAUGUUCUCAUAGCCAGGUGGCACAUCCUAGAUGGAUCAAAAUCAAGCCACCAAAUGCUUCUGGCAACAUUCCAAGACUCCCGAGCCCCCCAGGGGUUCUCUCUGUAGCUCUGGACAUCAGGAGUGAUGUGCUGAGUUCCCACAACAAUGCAUCUUAUGGGACCUGAAAUGGAGAAAAUUCUUGAAUAGAUUACUUGAAACUUAUGCCAAGGGCCCCUAUGCUGCAUUGACACUGGCAGAUUGGCAGGAGACCCUCCAUAUGACAGGUCUGAAGAUCAAGCAGCAUACCUGCUUAGAGUAGUACUUAAUGAUAUCAGAAAGGCUGCUUGCAAAGCCCUGCUGCUGACUCAGCCAGUGGGAACUCCACAAGGGACUUAUACGGAAUGACAGAAUCACAGAAUUUCUAGGUUGGAAGAGACCUUUGAGAUCAUCGAGUCCAACCCAUGUUCUAACACCUCAACUAGAACAUCGCACCAAGUGCCACAUCCGGUCUUUUCUUAACCACAUAGACGGAUGGUGUCUCCACCACCUCCCUGUGCAGAUGAUUCCAGUAUUUGACCACUCUCUCUGUGAAAAACUUCCUCCUUAAUUCUAGCCUGUAUCUCCCUUGGUGCAGAUUGAGACUGUGUCCUCUUGUUCUGUCUGUUGUUGCCCGGGGAAAGAGACUGACUCCCAGCUCACCACAGCCACCCUUCAGGAAGCUGAAGAGAGUGACAAGGUCACCUCUGAGUCUCCUUUUUUUUCUCCAGGCUGAACAACCCCAGCUCCCUCAGUCGUUCUUCAUACGGUUUGUGUUCCAAGCCCCUCACCAGCCUUGUUGCUCUCCUUUGGACACGCUCAAGCAUUUCAAUGUCCCUCCUAAACUGAGGGGCCCAGAACUGGACGUAAUACUCCAAGUGUGGCCUCCCCAGUGCCGAGUACAGGGGAAGAAUGAUCUCCCUGCUCCUGCUGGCCACACUAUUCCUGAUACUAGCCAGGAUGCCAUUGGCCCUCUUGGCCACCUGGGCACACUGCUGGCUCAUGUUCAGCCGACUGUCAACCAGCACCCCCAGGUCCCUUUCCUCCUGAGCACUGUCCAGCCACAGCGUCCCCAGCCUAUAAUGUUGCAGGGGAUUAUUGCGGCCAAAGAGCAGGAUUUGGCACUUGGACAUAUUGAACUUCAUCCCAUUGGAUUCUGCCCAUCCAUCCAACCGUUCCAGUGUCGCUCGUGCACCGGGGUCAGGGCAGGAACAGAUGAGAGGCAGGAUUGUAGCAAAGGCAAAGAAGCGCUUUAUUCAAACAAACUGCUCAGUUUUUAUAGAGAGGUAUGAUAGAUUCUAUUCUAUUGGCUAACAAACACAAACAUCUUUCUCACGUGCUGUUCUUGAGAGGAACGGAAAAACAAGGUAGAAAAACAGCACCUGCAAGUUGUUUAUGGUCAACAGGUUAUCGCAUCUUUCCAACUCCCUAAAAUCUCUCACAAGCCGCUGUGAGAAAUGCUUACCGUUUCUCUCUCCCUGUCCCAUGGCAUCCACACCCUGCCUGUAUAUGUUGGGCCAUUGUCUGUUUUUAUUUCUUGAGGUACGCCUAAUGAUGCAAAUGCUUGCAAGAAAUGUCGACAAGCGUGAUCUGCUGUUUCCCCUGCAUGUGCUGAAACAAAGACUGCUCCUGAGAAUGUGUCUACUAAAACAUGAACAUUUUUGAGCCUCUCAAAAGAUGGAUAUUUUGUGAUGUCAGUUUGCCACAGUUGAAGACUUUGCAGUCCUCGUGGAUUGACUGCUCCUGUGGAAGCAGGUGGCUGCACAAGCUGACAGUCUGGACAAGCACUAAUGAUUUCCCUUUCCUGAGUGUCCUAGUUCAGGGCAAAUUUGGGAGAGAACCCCCAAAGGGCUUCUCUAGGAAAUCGGAUUCUACAACCACUCCCCCAACCGGUCCGAGAGAAAAUACCUCCAUGGAGAAAAGUGGAAAAAAACUGUUUAUUAAACAAGAAAACCUAAACAAUAUUAAACAAUAAAACCCCUUGCUGCUCCAAAAGAGAUGACAAACCCAGAAAGUCCCCUCCCCAAAUUCCAGUUCAGCUCACUCAGUCCCUCCAGCGCUGGAAAUGCCGUGGCCCAAGCCUGGCCCGGUGGCCACCGAUGCGAGCUGCUGGUGCUCUUAUGGUUGUUCAGUCCAGAGCAGGUGUGAACAGGUCCAAAGAAAGGGGAAAAAAGGAAAAAAACCACAGUCCAGGGAACUUCUUUGCCUCAGCUAGCUAAACUAACUAAAAGCAAAAAAAAAGAGAGCCCUGUCCCGCCGUCUGUUCAUCUGCAGACAACGCAGUCCAGGAGGAGGAAUGUGUAGGAGUGAGUUCAGUGUCUGAAAACAAGCUGCGCGCCUCCUCUCCCCCCCUCAAUCCUUGGAGCAAGUCUUAAAGGUGUAAAACUUACUAUUCAGCAUAAACGGAACAAGACGACUGGGGAUAAAAGCAUCAUAUAGACAACCUAGGACACUGAGUUUUUGUGAGAUGGAAGGUUUCCAUCAGUGCCUGUGCAUUCUGAUGAAAAAACGCAUGACUUAGUCUUGCCUGCUCAAAAAUGUCUGGAAGUGUUUGUGAAAUGGGCAUUGUCAACCUGUCUGCUUGAGCAUUCCCUUCCGUUAGAAAUCCUGGAAGUGUUGUGUGAGCUCUGAUGUGAGUGAUAAAAUAUUCGUGCUCGCUGCUUUCUAGCAAUGUUUUCAUGCUCGCCAGAUAUGAAUAUAAAACUUCGUUGCUGGCCUCUUUCAAAAGCGAACCUUCCAAUCAUCUGACCACACCCACGACAUAUGCAGAAUCUGUGACCAAGUUGAGAGGUUGCUUGAACAACUGAAAUGCUCGGACGACAGCUGCCAAUUCCACAAUUUGUGGAGAACCUUGAACCGUCUUCACAUUUGAGUCCCAUUCCCCUGUUGUUGAGUUCAUCCACGUGAUCACUGACUUGUGCGUCUUCCCUGAGCCAUGAGUGAACACUGUGAUCCUGUCCAGAGGUUCUUCACUUAUUCUUGGCUUUACUCUUGUCCUGGUUUAGGACAAAUUAGGGGAAAUCUCCAAAAGGGAGUCUCCUAAAAAACAAACCUCCAACCACCCCUCCCCCAAUACCAGGUUCGGGAAGGAAUUCCUCGGAGGAGCAAAGUGGAAAAUAAAACCUAUUUAAUGACAAGUAACAAAGGAACACUCCCCAACACAAGAAAAGAAAAAAAAAAGAUACCAGGCAGUGCUGUGGAGGGUGCUGAGCUUCUCUCGCAGACUCCAGGGGGUCCUGGACGUCCCAGGUCAGGUCCGGAGCCGGUACAGUAUCUUCAGGGGAGGGUAAGAAAGAGGGAAUGAAAGAAAAGGAGGAAAAAAAGAACAGCGCAAAAAGCAAGCAAGCCAAGCUAAGCAGCAGCAGCAAGCAAGCUAAAAGCAAAAGCCCAGGUGCCCGGUCACCCUCACCCCCUCCCUCCCCGCCCCGCCACGGCAAGACGGCCGGGGUGGGGGGGGGAGAAAGGCGCAGAUGCCAGACACAACACACGAUAUUGGGAUAAAGGCUGUCACCCCACGACAAGGAGAAUUUCACAUAUUACCAAAGGGCACAAUGUCUUGCAAGGUCAAAUCCUGUAUUGUUUAUGACAACUUUUCGCCUUUCUUUUCAAGCAUAGUCUCAAACUCUAGCAACUCUAAAAUCUGAUAAAUUUUUAAUAUGAUCGGCUCUGACUGCAUACCUUGUCAAUUAAGUAGUGCAGCAAUGUUCCUGUCCUCAUUGAUUCUGGAGUAUCACAGGAUUCUCAGCAAGCAGCUAGUGCAAUGAUCACAAACAUAACCUCACUCUGGAGUGAAAAUUAAGGUGGAAUAAAUUUAAGAGAUCCAUUUCUGUUAAAAUAAAUUUUUGAAAGCUACAUUGGAAUACGUCUACUGCCACAAUGUCUUUUUUGAGCACACAAAUAAACUAGAGCCUGCUUCUAUACCAGGAUACAUUCCUAGCCAGAACCACCGAAGUCUGAAACCUUGUCUGUAUGAAUCCCAAGCUAACAUGAAUAGCUUAGCUUUUCUAGGACUUCACAAAAGUUUUCGGCUGUGUUUUUAUUUAUUUAAUGACACACACACACAAAAUAAAAGCCUGGAACAUGGCAUUAAAGACAAUCUAUAAUUAAGUUGGCUUGACACAACAUGCCAGAAUAAUUCACGUGAUCUGUGGUAUGGUCUUGUUCUCCAGGGCUUCUUGCUAUUCAUGACUACAUACAAUUAGAUUGUGUGGAGUUUGGUCAUGUGUCUGGCUCACUUAGAGGGUAUGUGUUGCUUUGGUGGCUAUUUAACAUGCUGUUUGAUCUCUUUCCAAAAAAAAAGAAAAGAAAAAAAAAAUAGAGUACACUGAGACAUUGCAAUGAGGUGCAUUUAAGACACUAAGAAAUUCCUAGGUCAGGCAUUCCUAGGAGUUGAUGGUUUCUGGAAGAGAGCAGAUCCAGCUGCAAUUAUUCUACCUGCAGUGAGAACUGCUUUACAGGCUUGAACGUGCCUGUUCCCCAGCAGUCCCUGAAGCUUUAGUGUGGGAAGGAGUGGUGUGGCCCAGUAAAGUGAAGGAUCUGAAUGAUAACAAUCAUCUUCCUCUGAGAACAAAGGACAUGGUUGCCUCAGUGAAGGUUUCCAUGUGCUUUCACACAGGUCUCAGGAGGCUCACAUGAUGAUGGUGUUGUUCACCUUUAAAACUGCAAAUCCACCUCUGCAACAAAAGUGGAGAAGGGAUAUUUGGGAGAGCAGAGAGAGGGGUGCUUCCUCUCAAACCACAAGGCUGGUGGAGAUGCUGGAUCCCAGUUAUCAUCUGUUUUGCCUGGUAAUCCUCCUUGCAACACUAAAUGCCCAGGAAAGAAGCCAGGAAAGCUGCAAACAUGUCCUGACACUUCCCAGAAACAGCUUCAGUGCUUUGACCUACCUGAUUCUGUUCUGAGCCAGUGCUGGUAUUUUGCCACAAACAAUGCCAGUUAAAAUACAUUCCAAGCUCUACCACACAGACAAAUGAAGAAAACAAAACAAAACUUUGUGUGAAGUUGUAUCCAUUUCAUGGAAGCUGUUUUUCUCCACCUAAAAAACCCAGAGCAAUCAGAAAGUAUUUCAAAGCUCAAUGAAUAUGUGUUUGCAUACAUGUGACAAAUAUUUUGCAACUGUGUAAUUGUCAGUUGUGGAAAUCAAAAGUGAAAUUCCCAAAGCAAGAUUAUGCCUGAGCUUGAUUUGUCAAAUGUUGGAUUUCAUGGUCUUGGAGCUCUUUUCCAACCUAUGUGAUUCUCUAAUGCUAUGAAUCUAUGCUUUCAUGGCAAAGGAGAGAUGUGCAGCACAGGUCCCCACUCAGUUUGAAGGGCACUCCCAUCACUCUAAGAGUACCCCACGCUCUCUAGAUUGUACCAGCCAAAAUCAGAGGACCCAGUGUCAGACCAGGGCCUUGUUGAUAGGAGACAUUCAUCUUGCAGCAGCUUUCCCCUGCAGCUUUCCCCAGCAGUUCUACCAGCUGUCCUAAUUGUUUAAAAGGAUCAAGUGUGCAGUUAAAAUGGUAUCAGUGAAUUCAAUGAAGAAUUUCAAUUCUUACUCUCCAUCUAAUAAUUCAACACUUGCUUGCAAAACCUUCCAUUGCAAGCUGAGAGCUGCAGUGCAGCCAUGUGCGGUGUCCCUGAUAAAGUCAGCAAGACAAAAGCUCUCUCUGGUGGUGCAUUUCAGUCGGUGCAGUUUCCUUUCCCUUCCAUUCCAAGCAGGCCGAGCAGCUCCGUGCUGUCCCUCCCUUUCCUGAUGGACCCACCCCAAGCUGUACCAGGAUUAGUGGCAGCACCAAACAGGGAGUAGGACAUCGUCCUGCUUGCACAGAGCUGAAUACACCUGGGAUAAGACAAGACAGUACAGAGAGCGAGCUGGAAACUAUAUCUAAAGCUGUGAGGUAAAAUUUCUUGCCACAGCAAAAUAUAAACUGUCUGCAUUUUUAGUCCCAGAGAGAGCUUGGAGCAGCAGCUGUUGUUGCUGGAAGAAUUCUGACCUGGUGAAUGCUCUGGACUUUGAUACAGGAAGCCUGGAUUGAGAUUAUUUUUCUGUUGCAGGGCCUGUUGUUGAUCUGUGGUAUCUCUCUGGACUAAUUGCUGACUUGGUUCCCCCUCUGUAAAAUAAAGACAACCAUCUGCCCACUCCCUCACCUCUCAUUAGCAUUUAGUUUUAUUUAUUAUUUAGCUUACAAGAUCUAUGUGGUAGGACAGGUUUCUUACUGUUUGCCUGUAGUGUCUAACAUAGUGAGGCCAGUCUGGGUCAGAAUAUUAGACUCAAGCCUACCACAAAAAUAGCAAUAUUAUUUGCUAGUGAUAAGAGUAAGUGUUUUUAAUACUUUAAUGAAGUUAACACCUGAAAGAAGAACAUUAUUAGAUUUUUUUUCCAUACUACAUCUCUGUUUACUAAUUAUACCAUAAAUGUUAACAACAAUUCAUGUGUUAAUAUGUGUGUGUGUUGUGUUUUUGUAUUUGAAAUACUGUGGGGUUUUUUGGGGUUCUAUGGGAUUGUUUUACUUUUGUAUGAUUGUUCUGUUAUUCUUAAUCAAGUAUUUCACCCCCCAAAUUGCCCUUUCAAUAAUUAAUUCCAGCAGUUCAAGUCUAAAGGGAAAUGAAGUCAAGUAUCAUGAGGUACAGUGAGACUGCAGAAUCUAGCACUUUCUUC